Molecule: small nucleolar RNA, 67 nt
Organism: Engraulis encrasicolus (European anchovy)
Lineage: Eukaryota; Metazoa; Chordata; Actinopteri; Clupeiformes; Engraulidae
Product: small nucleolar RNA SNORD37
Exons: 1
Source: RefSeq, a predicted model, not a curated record
AUAUGUGAUGACUUAAACAUCUUCACUUUGACCUGAUUGUCCAGUGAUGAGAGUACUCUGUCUGAAU